UACGUAGGCAGCGAGCGUUGUUCGGAUUUACUGGGCGUAAAGGGUGUGUAGGCGGUUCUUUAAGUUUGGUGUGAAAUCUCCCGGCUCAACCGGGAGGGUGCGCCGAAUACUGAGGGACUAGAGUAUGGGAUGGGAAAGUGGAAUUCCUGGUGUAGCGGUGAAAUGCGUAGAUAUCAGGAGGAACACCUGUGGUGUAGACGGCUUUCUGGACCAUAACUGACGCUGAGACACGAAAGCGUGGGUAGCAAACAGG
RNAcentral lists this ribosomal RNA (253 nucleotides) under uncultured bacterium. Its description in RNAcentral is "partial 16S ribosomal RNA". It matches the Rfam family "Bacterial small subunit ribosomal RNA", at positions 524 to 776 of the family's 1533-position model. The record is from RNAcentral.